RNAcentral lists this ribosomal RNA (867 nucleotides) under uncultured marine group I thaumarchaeote. RNAcentral's name for it is "SSU rRNA". It matches the Rfam family "Archaeal small subunit ribosomal RNA", at positions 25 to 901 of the family's 1478-position model. The record is from RNAcentral. Lineage: Archaea; Thermoproteati; Nitrososphaerota.
GACUGCUAUCGGAUUGAUACUAAGCCAUGCGAGUCUUUGUAGUAAUACAAGGCAGACGGCUCAGUAACACGUAGUCAACCUACCCUAUGGACGAGAAUAAUCUCGGGAAACUGAGCAUAAUUCUUGAUAGAUCAUAAUGCCUGGAAUGGUUUAUGGUUAAAAUGAUUCGUCGCCAUAGGAUGGGACUGCGGCCUAUCAGCUUGUUGGUGAGGUAAUGGCCCACCAAGGCGAUUACAGGUACGGGCUCUGAGAGGAGAAGCCCGGAGAUGGGUACUGAGACACGGACCCAGGCCCUAUGGGGCGCAGCAGGCGAGAAAACUUUGCAAUGUGCGAAAGCACGACAAGGUUAAUCCGAGUGAUUUCUGCUAAAGAAAUCUUUUGCCAGUCGUAAAACCGCUGGUGAAUAAGGGGUGGGCAAGUUCUGGUGUCAGCCGCCGCGGUAAAACCAGCACCUCAAGUGGUCAGGAUGAUUAUUGGGCCUAAAGCAUCCGUAGCCGGCUUUGUAAGUUUUCGGUUAAAUCCAUGUGCUCAACGCAUGGGCUGCCGAAAAUACUGCAUAGCUAGGGAGUGGGAGAGGUAGACGGUACUCAGUAGGUAGGGGUAAAAUCCUUUGAUCUAUUGAUGACCACCUGUGGCGAAGGCGGUCUACCAGAACACGUUCGACGGUGAGGGAUGAAAGCUGGGGGAGCAAACCGGAUUAGAUACCCGGGUAGUCCCAGCUGUAAACGAUGCAGACUAGAUGAUGCAUUGGCAUAAUAGCCAUUGCAGUGUCUCAGGGAAGCCGUUAAGUCUGCCGCCUGGGAAGUACGUACGCAAGUAUGAAACUUAAAGGAUUGGCGGGGAGCACACAAGGGUGAAGCCUGCGGU